GGGCGAGUCCAGCUCCGGCCGCCAUGGCGGCCGCGGGAAUUCGAUUAUCCCCUUUCCAUGGUAGGAUACAGGCCGACCCUGGUGGUAACGGGUAACGGGGUGUUAGGGCACGACACCGGAGAGGGAGCCUGAGAAACGGCUACCACAUCCAAGGAUGGCAGCAGGCGCGCAAAUUACCCAAUCCCGACACGGGGAGGUAGUGACGAUAAAUAACAAUACGGGGUUCUUUCGGAUCUCGUAAUUGGAAUGAGUACAAUUUAAAUCUCUUAACGAGGAACAAUUGGAGGGCAAGUCUGGUGCCCGCAGCCGCGGUAAUUCCAGCUCCAAUAGCGUAUAUCAAAGUUGUUGCAGUUAAGAAGCUCGUAUUUGAAUUUCGGGGUUAGUAGGCUGGUCGUGCCACCGGUACGUACUGGUCUUACUGAUUCCUCCUUCCUGAUGAACUGUAAUGCCAUUAAUUUGGUGUUGCAGGAAAUCUGGACUGUUACUUUGAAAAAAUUACAGUGUUUAAAGCAGGCUAACGCUUGAAUACAUUAGCAUGGAAUAAUGAAAUAUGACGUUCCAUCCUACUUUGUUGGUUUCUAUGAUUGACCUACUGAUUAAUAGGGAUAAUUGGGGGCAUUAUUAUUCAUUUGUCAGAGGUGAAAUUCUUGGAUUUAUUGAAGACUAACUACUGCGAAAGCAUUUGCCAAGGAUGUUGUCAUUACUCAAGGACGAAAGUUAUGGGAUCGAAGACCAUCAGAUACCGUCCUAGUCUUAACCAUAAACUAUGCCGACUACGGAUCGGAUGAUGUGAAUUAUUUAAUGACUCAUUCUGCGCCUUACGGGAAACCACAGUGUUUGGGUUCAAUCACUAUUGAAUUCGCGGCCGCCUGCACGUCGACCAUAUGGGAGAGCUCCCAAAGCGUUGGAUGCAUAGCUUGAGUAUUCUAUAGUGUCACCUAAAUAGCUUGACGUAAUCAUGGUCAUAGCUGUUUCCUGUGUGAAAUGUGUUAACCGCUCACACUUCCACACAACAUACGAGCCGGAACACAGAGUGUAAAGGCUGGGAGUGCCUGAAUGAGCUGAGCUAACUCACAUUCAUCUGCGUUAGCUGCUCACUGCCCCGCCUUUCCAGUCUGGCAAACCUGUCAAUGCCAGCUUGCACUAAAUG
This 1150-nucleotide small RNA is filed under the name uncultured Glomus. Its description in RNAcentral is "bacterial SSU rRNA". The stretch from base 1 to 847 matches the Rfam family "Eukaryotic small subunit ribosomal RNA", at positions 260 to 1116 of the family's 1831-position model. The record is from RNAcentral. Lineage: Eukaryota; Fungi; Glomeromycota; Glomeromycetes; Glomerales; Glomeraceae.